UUUAUAGAGCGCGUAAAGAGUGCGUGAGCGGUGUUUGGCGUGUAUGGGCAUGUUGGAUCCCUGCUCUGGCAGCGACGGCGUCCCAUAUAUGUCUCUUCAGUUGUUGGCACAAGCACGUGCUUGGCCGAAGUCGGUUUUCCUGUGUUGAAUACCUACCGUGAAGGCAUUCUGUUGGCUAUAAUUGACUGUUUUCCACCCUGUGCCGCAGCCCCUUGUGGGAUGCGGUACGGGGAGGACGUUAAGGCAGCCGCCGUGUUUCGCACUGUGAUCAUCCUCUCGGGUGUUCCGGUUGACGACCCACGGCGCGUUGCUUGAUAUCUCGGGUGCGGAACAUCACGUGGGUACGGGACGUCAGUCUCUGAUAACCACAAAAUUAAGCGUUCUACGCUUCGUGCGAACGACGAUCGGCUCGGUCUCUGAUCUCGAUUGGAGUCGUGCCGAUGUCGAUGAGGAAUGC
Molecule: unclassified non-coding RNA, 457 nt
Filed under: Mosla dadoensis
Lineage: Eukaryota; Viridiplantae; Streptophyta; Magnoliopsida; Lamiales; Lamiaceae
Description: partial external transcribed spacer
Source: RNAcentral